This 253-nucleotide ribosomal RNA is filed under the name uncultured bacterium. Its description in RNAcentral is "partial 16S ribosomal RNA". It matches the Rfam family "Bacterial small subunit ribosomal RNA", at positions 524 to 776 of the family's 1533-position model. The record is from RNAcentral.
UACGUAGGGUGCGAGCGUUAAUCGGAAUUACUGGGCGUAAAGCGUGCGCAGGCGGUUUUGUAAGCCAGAUGUGAAAUCCCCGGGCUUAACCUGGGAAUGGCAUUUGGGACUGCAAGGCUAGAGUGUGGCAGAGGGGGGUGGAAUUCCGCGUGUAGCAGUGAAAUGCGUAGAGAUGCGGAGGAACACCGAUGGCGAAGGCAGCCCCCUGGGCCAAUACUGACGCUCAGGCACGAAAGCGUGGGGAGCAAACAGG